RNAcentral lists this ribosomal RNA (433 nucleotides) under uncultured bacterium. RNAcentral's name for it is "bacterial SSU rRNA". It matches the Rfam family "Bacterial small subunit ribosomal RNA", at positions 917 to 1344 of the family's 1533-position model. The record is from RNAcentral.
GGGCCCGCACAAGCGGUGGAGCAUGCGGUUUAAUUCGAUGCUACGCGAAGAACCUUACCAACCUUUGACAUGCAUAGUUUGGAGGAGCAGAGAUGUUCCUUUUCAGUUCGGCUGGGCUUUGCACAGGUACUGCAUGGCUGUCGUCAGCUCGUGUCGUGAGAUGUUGGGUUAAGUCCCGCAACGAGCGCAACCCUUAUCCUUAUUUGCCAGCGAGUUAAGUCGGGAACUAUAAGGAAACUGCCAGCAACAAGCUGGAGGAAGGUGGGGAUGAGGUCAAGUCAUCAUGGUCCUUACAUCCUGGGCUACACACGUACUACAAUGCUACGGACAAAGGGCUGCAAGUUCGCGAGGACAAGCAAAUCCCAUAAACCGUGGCUCAGUUCAGAUCGUAGGCUGCAACUCGCCUACGUGAAGGCGGAAUCGCUAGUAAUCG